GAUGAACGCUGGCGGCGUGCCUAAUACAUGCAAGUCGAGCGAACAGACGAGGAGCUUGCUCCUCUGACGUUAGCGGCGGACGGGUGAGUAACACGUGUAUAACCUACCUAUAAGACUGGUAUAACUUCGGGAAACCGGAGCUAAUACCGGAUAAUAUAUUGAACCGCAUGGUUCAAUAGUGAAAUACGGUUUUGCUGUCACUUAUAGCUGGUUCCGCGCCGCAUUAGAUAGUUGUGAAGUUAACGGCUUACCAAGGCAACGAUGCGUAGCCGAGGGGAGAGGGUGAUAGGCCACACUGGAACUGAACCACGGUCAAGACUCCUACGGGAGGCAGCAGUAGGGAAUCUUACGCAAUGGGCGAAAGCCUGACGGAGCAACGCGACGUGAGUGAUGAAGGUCUUCGGAUCGUAAAAAUCUGUUAUUAGGGAAGAACAAAUGUGUAAGUAAAUAUGCACGUCUUGACGGUAACUAAUCAGAAAGCCACGGCUAACUACGUG
Molecule: ribosomal RNA, 497 nt
Filed under: uncultured bacterium
Lineage: Bacteria
Description: partial 16S ribosomal RNA
Rfam family: Bacterial small subunit ribosomal RNA
Source: RNAcentral